This 765-nucleotide long non-coding RNA is filed under the name Ricinus communis (castor bean). RNAcentral's name for it is "long non-coding RNA (RCOM_LNC002007)". Lineage: Eukaryota; Viridiplantae; Streptophyta; Magnoliopsida; Malpighiales; Euphorbiaceae. The record is from RNAcentral.
UGUUUUCUAAGGCUAACACUAAACAUCUUCCUUUAGUAAACUAAUUCCUCAUUAAGUUCCUUAAUCCUGGAGUAUUAAUGGUUACUCAACAAUCGAUUUCUUCUGUUUUUAAUACUUAGGCUCACACAACAACCCUUUUUAGUCUUAGUUGAACAAUGAGGUUUAACUUAAUACAUUUUACAAAGAAAGAAAUUAAGUGUAGAAAGUUGAGAAAUAAAUUUGCAAGAGUUUGGACAAGACACAUUCACAUACUCACUUUCUUGAGUCUUUAAGAGGGGUAUUUAUAUACAAAAUUAACCCUUAAAGAUGUUACAAUUGGUUCAAGACUCAUGAAAUGCAAAUUUGCUGACUAGGCAAAAGGUUGCCUGAAGUCAUAAAAGGCGGCCCCGCGCUUUUCAAGCGCCUUCGUGCUUUCUAUAAAGAGACGUUAGGGCUCCAACUGCUUCAGACACGUGGCUCUGACUUGGUGACUAAUAUCUCAACGAUUACUGGCAUGGUAUUAAUUGUGAAAACCGCCAUCGUGCCAUUGGAAGCGCCCUCGCGCUUGUCUUGUUCGCACUCAGAAGCGUCCUCACACUUCUCAUCAUGGUAUUAACUGCUAUUUUCAGUCUUAAGCUCCAAGCUUGAGUGCCCCUGUGCUUUUUGAUGUUUUGACUCUUUGAUUUUCAUAUGUCGCUUUGUUAUUGGCAAGAUGUUAGCUGGAAUUUUCAAUGAUUUGAAUAAUUCUGGUCAUGCGAAAAGUGCCCCCGAGCUUUAAAAGCACCC